This is a long non-coding RNA of Phlebotomus papatasi, 4706 nucleotides long. RefSeq lists it as uncharacterized. The transcript has 5 exons. The record is from RefSeq and is a predicted model, not a curated record. NCBI's taxonomy places the organism in Eukaryota, Metazoa, Arthropoda, Insecta, Diptera, Psychodidae.
UUUUAAAGAGAGAACUAUCAAAAAGAGAUAGUUUUUGUGCGCAUAGGGGAAAGGUAGGUAUUUUAGGUAGGGUUAGACACUCUCUGCUCACGCGAAUCGUGAGCAGGGGGUGUCUAUUUUUUUUUAAGAAAGAACUAUCAAAAAGAGAUAGUUUUUUUUGCGCAUAGGGGAAAGGUAGGUAUUUUAGGUAGGGUUAGACACUCUCUGCUUACGCAAAUCGUGAGCAGGGGGUGUCUAUUUCUUUUUUAAAGAAAGAACUAUCAAAAAGAGAUAGUUUUUGUGCGCAUAGAGGAAAGGUAGGUAGUUUAGGUAGGGUUAUACACUCCCUGCUCACGCAAAUCAUGAGCAGGGGGUGUCUAUUUUUUUUAAAGAGAGAACUAUCAAAAAGAGAUAGUUUUUGUGCGCAUAGGGGAAAGGUAGGUAUUUUAGGUAGGGUUAGACACUCUCUGCUCACGCGAAUCGUGAGCAGGGGGUGUCUAUUUUUUUUAAGAAAGAACUAUCAAAAAGAGAUAGUUUUUUUUGCGCAUAGGGGAAAGGUAGGUAUUUUAGGUAGGGUUAGACACUCUCUGCUUACGCAAAUCGUGAGCAGGGGGUGUCUAUUUCUUUUUUAAAGAAAGAACUAUCAAAAAGAGAUAGUUUUUGUUUGCAUAGGGGAAAGGUAGGUAUUUUAGGUAGGGUUAGACACUCUCUGCUCACGCAAAUCAUGAGCAGGGGGUGUCUAUUUUUUUUUAAAGAGAGAACUAUCAAAAAGAGAUAGUUUUUGUGCGCAUAGGGGAAAGGUAGGUAUUUUAGGUAGGGUUAGACACUCUCUUCUCACGCAAAUCGUGAGCAGGGGGUGUCUAUUUUUUUUUUAAGAAAGAACUAUCAAAAAGAGAUAGUUUUUGUGCGCAUAGGGGAAAGGUAGGUAUUUUAGGUAGGGUUAGACACUCUCUGGUCAUGCAAAUCGUGAGCAGGGGGUUUCUAUUUUUUUUAAGAAAGAACUAUAAAAAAGAGAUAGUUUUUUUUGCGCAUAGGGGAAAGGUAGGUAUUUUAGGUAGGGUUAGACACUCUCUGCUUACGCAAAUCGUGAGCAGGGGGUGUCUAUUUCUUUUUUAAAGAAAGAACUAUCAAAAAGAGAUAGUUUUUGUGCGCAUAGGGGAAAGGUAGGUAGUUUAGGUAGGGUUAGACACUCUCUGCUCACGCAAAUCAUGAGCAGGGGGUGUCUAUUUUUUUUUAAAGAGAGAACUAUCAAAAAGUGAUAGUUUUUGUACGCAUAGGGGAAAGGUAGGUAUUUUAGGUAGGGUUAGACACUCUCUGCUCACGCAAAUCGUGAGCAGGGGGUGUCUAUUUUUUUAAGAAAGAACUAUCAAAAAGAGAUAGUUUUUGUGCGCAUAGGGGAAAGGUAGGUAUUUUAGGUAGGGUUAGACACUCUCUGCUUACGCAAAUCGUGAGCAGGGGGUGUCUAUUUCUUUUUUAAAGAAAGAACUAUCAAAAAGAGAUAGUUUUUGUGCGCAUAGGGGAAAGGUAGGUAGUUUAGGUAGGGUUAGACACUCUCUGCUCACGCAAAUCAUGAGCAGGGGGUGUCUAUUUUUUUUUAAAGAGAGAACUAUCAAAAAGUGAUAGUUUUUGUACGCAUAGGGGAAAGGUAGGUAUUUUAGGUAGGGUUAGACACUCUCUGCUCACGCAAAUCGUGAGCAGGGGGUGUCUAUUUUUUUAAGAAAGAACUAUCAAAAAGAGAUAGUUUUUGUGCGCAUAGGGGAAAGGUAGGUAUUUUAGGUAGGGUUAGACACUCUCUGGUCAUGCAAAUCGUGAGCAGUGGGUGUCUAUUUUUUUUUAAGAAAGAACUAUCAAAAAGAGAUAGUUUUUGUGCGCAUAGGGGAAAGGUAGGUAUUUUAGUUAGGGUUAGACACUCUCUGGUCAUGCAAAUCGUGAGCAGGGGGUGUCUAUUUUUUUAAGAAAGAACUAUCAAAAAGAGAUAGUUUUUGUUUGCAUAGGGGAAAGGUAGGUAUUUUAGGUAGGGUUAGACACUCUCUGGUCAUGCAAAUCGUGAGCAGGGGGUGUCUAUUUUUUUUUUUAAGAAAGAACUAUCAAAAAGAGAUAGUUUUUGUUUGCAUAGGGGAAAGGUAGGUAUUUUAGGUAGGGUUAGACACUCUCUGGUCAUGCAAAUCGUGAGCAGGGGGUGUCUAUUUUUUUUUUAAAGAAAGAACUAUCAAAAAGAGAUAGUUUUUGUUUGCAUAGGGGAAAGGUAGGUAUUUUAGGUAGGGUUAGACACUCUCUGGUCAUGGAAAUCGUGAGCAGGGGGUGUCUAUUUUUUUUAAGAAAUAACUAUCAAAAAGUGAUAGAUUUUGUACGCAUAGGGGAAAGGUAGGUAUUUUAGGUAGGGUUAGACACUCUCUGCUUACGCAAAUCGUGAGCAGGGGGUGUCUAUUUCUUUUUUAAAGAAAGAACUAUCAAAAAGAGAUAGUUUUUGUGCGCAUAGGGGAAAGGUAGGUAUUUUAGGUAGGGUUAGACACUCUCUGCUUACGCAAAUCGUGAGCAGGGGGUGUCUAUUUCUUUUUUAAAGAAAGAACUAUCAAAAAGAGAUAGUUUUUGUGCGCAUAGGGGAAAGGUAGGUAUUUUAGGUAGGGUUAGACACUCUCUUCUCACGCAAAUCGUGAGCAGGGGGUGUCUAUUUUUUUUUUAAGAAAGAACUAUCAAAAAGAGAUAGUUUUUGUGCGCAUAGGGGAAAGGUAGGUAUUUUAGGUAGGGUUAGACACUCUCUGCUUACGCAAAUCGUGAGCAGGGGGUGUCUAUUUCUUUUUUAAAGAAAGAACUAUCAAAAAGAGAUAGUUUUUGUGCGCAUAGGGGAAAGGUAGGUAGUUUAGUUAGGGUUAGACACUCUCUGGUCAUGCAAAUCGUGAGCAGGGGGUGUCUAUUUUUUUAAGAAAGAACUAUCAAAAAGAGAUAGUUUUUGUUUGCAUAGGGGAAAGGUAGGUAUUUUAGGUAGGGUUAGACACUCUCUGGUCAUGCAAAUCGUGAGCAGGGGGUGUCUAUUUUUUUUUUUAAGAAAGAACUAUCAAAAAGAGAUAGUUUUUGUUUGCAUAGGGGAAAGGUAGGUAUUUUAGGUAGGGUUAGACACUCUCUGCUUACGCAAAUCGUGAGCAGGGGGUGUCUAUUUCUUUUUUAAAGAAAGAACUAUCAAAAAGAGAUAGUUUUUGUGCGCAUAGGGGAAAGGUAGGUAGUUUAGGUAGGGUUAGACACUCUCUGCUCACGCAAAUCAUGAGCAGGGGGUGUCUAUUUUUUUUUAAAGAGAGAACUAUCAAAAAGUGAUAGUUUUUGUACGCAUAGGGGAAAGGUAGGUAUUUUAGGUAGGGUUAGACACUCUCUGCUCACGCAAAUCGUGAGCAGGGGGUGUCUAUUUUUUUAAGAAAGAACUAUCAAAAAGAGAUAGUUUUUGUUUGCAUAGGGGAAAGGUAGGUAUUUUAGGUAGGGUUAGACACUCUCUGGUCAUGCAAAUCGUGAGCAGUGGGUGUCUAUUUUUUUUUAAGAAAGAACUAUCAAAAAGAGAUAGUUUUUGUGCGCAUAGGGGAAAGGUAGGUAUUUUAGUUAGGGUUAGACACUCUCUGGUCAUGCAAAUCGUGAGCAGGGGGUGUCUAUUUUUUUAAGAAAGAACUAUCAAAAAGAGAUAGUUUUUGUUUGCAUAGGGGAAAGGUAGGUAUUUUAGGUAGGGUUAGACACUCUCUGGUCAUGCAAAUCGUGAGCAGGGGGUGUCUAUUUUUUUUUUUAAGAAAGAACUAUCAAAAAGAGAUAGUUUUUGUUUGCAUAGGGGAAAGGUAGGUAUUUUAGGUAGGGUUAGACACUCUCUGGUCAUGCAAAUCGUGAGCAGGGGGUGUCUAUUUUUUUUUUAAAGAAAGAACUAUCAAAAAGAGAUAGUUUUUGUUUGCAUAGGGGAAAGGUAGGUAUUUUAGGUAGGGUUAGACACUCUCUGGUCAUGGAAAUCGUGAGCAGGGGGUGUCUAUUUUUUUUAAGAAAUAACUAUCAAAAAGUGAUAGAUUUUGUACGCAUAGGGGAAAGGUAGGUAUUUUAGGUAGGGUUAGACACUCUCUGCUCACGCAAAUCGUGAGCAGGGGGUGUCUAUAUUUUUUAGGAAAGAACUAUCAAAAAGAGAUAGUUUUUGUGCGCAUAGGGGAAAGGUAGGUAGUUUAGGUAGGGUUAUACACUCUCUGCUCACGCAAAUCAUGAGCAGGGGGUGUCUAUAUUUUUUUAAAGAGAGAACUAUCAAAAAGAGAUAGUUUUUGUGCGCAUAGGGGAAAGGUAGGUAUUUUAGGUAGGGUUAGACACUCUCUGCUCACGCGAAUCGAGAGCAGGGGGUGUCUAUUUUUUUUAAGAAAGAACUAUCAAAAAGAGAUAGUUUUUUUUGCGCAUAGGGGAAAGGUAGGUAUUUUAGGUAGGGUUAGACACUCUCUGCUUACGCAAAUCGUGAGCAGGGGGUGUCUAUUUCUUUUUUAAAGAAAGAACUAUCAAAAAGAGAUAGUUUUUGUGCGCAUAGGGGAAAGGUAGGUAGUUUAGGUAGGGUUAUACACUCUCUGCUCACGCAAAUCAUGAGCAGGGGGUGUCUAUUUUUUUUUAAAGAGAGAACUAUCAAAAAGAGAUAGUUUUUGUUUGCAUAGGGGAAAGGUAGGUAUUUUAGGUAGGGUUAGACACUCUCUGCUCACGCGAAUCGUGAGCAGGGGGUGUCUAUUUUUUUU